AGAGUUUGAUCCUGGCUCAGAGUGAACGCUGGCGGUAGGCCUAACACAUGCAAGUCGAACGGCAGCACAGUAAGAGCUUGCUCUUACGGGUGGCGAGUGGCGGACGGGUGAGGAAUACAUCGGAAUCUACUUUUUCGUGGGGGAUAACGUAGGGAAACUUACGCUAAUACCGCAUACGACCUACGGGUGAAAGCAGGGGAUCUUCGGACCUUGCGCGAUUGAAUGAGCCGAUGUCGGAUUAGCUAGUUGGCGGGGUAAAGGCCCACCAAGGCGACGAUCCGUAGCUGGUCUGAGAGGAUGAUCAGCCACACUGGAACUGAGACACGGUCCAGACUCCUACGGGAGGCAGCAGUGGGGAAUAUUGGACAAUGGGCGCAAGCCUGAUCCAGCCAUACCGCGUGGGUGAAGAAGGCCUUCGGGUUGUAAAGCCCUUUUGUUGGGAAAGAAAUCCAGCUGGUUAAUACCCGGUUGGGAUGACGGUACCCAAAGAAUAAGCACCGGCUAACUUCGUGCCAGCAGCCGCGGUAAUACGAAGGGUGCAAGCGUUACUCGGAAUUACUGGGCGUAAAGCGUGCGUAGGUGGUCGUUUAAGUCUGUUGUGAAAGCCCUGGGCUCAACCUGGGAACUGCAGUGGAAACUGGACGACUAGAGUGUGGUAGAGGGUAGCGGAAUUCCUGGUGUAGCAGUGAAAUGCGUAGAGAUCAGGAGGAACAUCCAUGGCGAAGGCAGCUACCUGGACCAACACUGACACUGAGGCACGAAAGCGUGGGGAGCAAACAGGAUUAGAUACCCUG
Molecule: ribosomal RNA, 794 nt
Filed under: uncultured bacterium
Lineage: Bacteria
Description: bacterial SSU rRNA
Rfam family: Bacterial small subunit ribosomal RNA
Source: RNAcentral